AUGUUGCUGGACUCCCCUCUUGAAGGCAAAUGGCCUCGUCCAACCCCCUCCUCCUCCUUUCACACACUGACCGCUUUCUGUCUGUCUCCUCAAUGGUCUCGCCCAUUUUUCAAAGCCACGCCCCCUUCGAACGGAAUGGCCUCGCCCAGCUCCCACUCGAUUGUGUCCAGUGACAGCAUCAGGCGGCGCCCUGGGCGAAACCAAGUCCCCGCGCACGAGAGGGGGAGCGAGGUCUCCAGGACCGGAGUUGGCGGGGGGCAUCUGUUGCCCCUGUAAUGGCUUCAGAUUUGGGAAAUGACCCUAUAUUGGAUCCUCCAUCUGUACCUCGGGCACCUCUGGUAAAGUAACUUAUUAUGGUGUUGGGAGGCAGUGAUUAGUCCUUUGUGUCCCACUGCCCUGAAUCCCUUCGGGGAGAUAGGACGGUAUAAAAAUAAAGUUUUACCAUGAUAAUGAUUAUUAUUUUGCUUUGAUUGUGUAUUUCCUGAAUGGCAAAGUUUUGGACUGGAUGGUUCUCGUAGUCUCUUCCAGUUCUGUGAUUGUAAAGUUGCAUGGGAGAAGCAACUGUCAUAAAUGAUUUGUAAAAACUGGAUAUACAUCAAACUGACAGCGUCUCUCAUCUCUCGGCUUCCCCAGAAAAAAGCGAACAGAAAGGGAGGUUUGCCAGAGGCCAAGAGGAAAGGACGGGCCAAGCGGUUGAACAAAGAUGCGGAGGAACUGCUUGCGAGCAUGCAGCGGUUGGUAGGUUAAGCCCUGGGAAAGCACUCUGGAGUUCUUCCUUGACUCUAAAAGAGAGGAGAAAGUAAGAAGGAUGCAAGGGUUAUAAAAGCUGACUUCCAGAAUCACCCAUCCAGUAUGGCAGUGGUCAUGAUGCUUGAGGGAUUCUAGGGACUGUCACAAAAGAAGUAUUUCCAAUAGCAGUGUAAGUAAAAUCUUUCAGUGACAAUGUCAGCAACACUGGAUGAGGCAGUUUUAACAUUUUUCAAUUUUUGGGGAGCUGUUUUUUUUUAAAGAGAGGCGUUAGUUAAUGUUCUGUCACGUGCUGGGCCUGUAAAUUUGUCUUUAUGACCAGCGGGAAGUCAGGGCACCUCAGUGAAAGGUUCUUGAGGAUUUUCCUGAAAAGGAUAGUCCUUUGAGUCUUUAAUAAGAUAACAAAGUCUUUAUUGUUGAACAAAUAACAAAUCUUCAAGGAAUCAAAUAACACUUCAAGGUUUCCUUAACAGACUGUUGGCCCUUUCAGUCUUGUCCCCAAGGGACAGGCGAUUGGCUUUGGAUAACUGUGAAAACCCUCUUAUAACCUCUUCCAGGUUGUCUAUCAUAUGGGCCUAGCUGAUGUGAGACCCACUACUGAUUCCAAGUGCGUCUGGGUAUCGCGUGGACCUACCAACAAAGGCUUGUGGAUGUUUCAGCUUGGGUUCCAUGGAUCCGUGGUGCCAUUCUCUCUCUGAGAUUUCUUUGGAAACUCUAAGGCUGUUUCCCUCAGGAGUUGUGAGGCUGAGAGGCUGUAAGCUCUCAGACAGAGCCUUUGGGACCUUUUCCCCUGGAAUUUCCGUUUCUGUUUUCUCGGAUGUUCUAUAUCCCCGGAUGUUAAUGAGAUAUGAAACUUUUCUACAGGACGAGCUGGUCUACGUCCUAUAGCUUAGCUUCCUUAGUGAGACUAACUUAAAAAUGGCUCCUUCCCUUUCAGAGCCCUGAACAAGGGGCGGAACCAAACUUGAUGAUUGACAGGCGGCCCUACAUGCUACGAUCAGAUCUCAGGUUUUCUGCAUUAAACUGGAUUAUAUGAGUCCCCACUGCCAGAUAAUCUGGGAUAAACAGAAAACCUGAAAUAAGAUCCUGGGAUAAAGGGCCUGUCUGGAAGGACCCUAUGCCCUUUUGCUCAGGGGUAAUGAAAAGAUACAUUAUACAUAUGCACAGAAAUACCUUUCUUUAUUGUGCUCCACAACAAAAUGUUGUUGAUCAGGGUGCACCUGAUCAGAAUGACAGCCAGCUGUGCCCUUUGCCUUUCCAUUUCCCCUCAUUCAGGUUUUCUGCCCCACAAGUAAGUCAGCAAUCAGCUUUUGUGAAUGGUGGUCAGCCUUUGUGAAUGAUGGAUGGUGUCAUUUUGCUACAUAAACAAUGGCCUUCAGAAAAUAAAUCGCUUUUGGCCCCAUCCUCUGUCAUAUAAAGAAGUUUCAUAAUGCAGUUUAAUUGCAUUAUGUGGUAGUGUAGAUGGGGCAGGCUUACUGUUAGUAUAGAGCAUGCUUCUUAAGCUACAUGUUCUGACCUACAAUGCCUUAGCUCAAUGUUGGGGUUACAGAAUAUUUGGCAAUAGUAACAGGUUUCUGAACGCCCCCCAUUUGCACAAAUCUAUUAGCAACAAAUUGGAGUAUUUACAGUGGUCUCUGUAGAAAAAUGCUUCAGCUGUACUUUAUAAAAAGGGAAAUCGGCUGUCUUCGCAAGCUUUGCAAAUGCUGGUUUAUUAUCAGCAUAUUUGUUGAUUUGUAUACCUACUUUCUAUACCUGGAGCCGCCAGUGGCACAGCAGAUUAAACCCUGAGCUGCUGAACUUGCUGACUGAAAGGUCGGCGGUUUGAAUCCGGGGAGCAGAGUGAGCUUCUACUAUUAGCCCCAGCUUCUGCCAACCUAGCAGUUUGAAAACAUGCAAAUGUAAGUAGAUCAAUAGGUACCGCACUGGCGGGAAGGUAAUGGAGCUCCAUGCAGUUAUGCCGGCCACAUGACCUUGGAGGUGUCUUUGGACAACACCAGCUCUUUGGCUUAGAAAUGGAGAUGAGCACCAACCCCCAGAGUCGGACACGACUGGACUUAAUGUUAGGGAAAACCUUUACCUUUACCUGUGGCCAUGCAAAAUGUUCUUGGGCAGAAAGGGAUUGCAAGUGGAAAAAGGUUUACAAAGCCCUGCUUUUUGAGAAGGGAAAGCAAGAUGUGACCUCAAGUGGAUGAGAUGUAAAAAAAAAAUUAGAAAAGGAAGAUUAGUGCUAAAAGACAUUAUUUUCCUAUUCAUACCCUGUUUAAUAUUGUUUUUUCGUACCAGGAUCUCACAACAGAAUGUACAGUGCCAGUAGGAACGGGCCUGGUGUUUGAUGAACGGAUGACAGAGUUUUGCUGUCCAUGGGAUGAAAGGUAUUUGGCAUGAAGGAGGGGUUUGUGAUCCUUGACUCUAAUACAGUAGAGUCUCACUUAUCCAAGCUAAAUGGGCCGGCAGAAGCUUGGAUAAGUGAAUAUCUUGGAUAAUAAGAAGGGAUUAAGGAAAAGCCUAUUAAACAUCAAAUUAGGUUAAGAUUUUACAAAUUAAGCACCAAAACUUCAUGUUAUACAACAAAUUUGACAGAAAAAGUAGUUCAAUACGCAGUAAUGUUAUGUUGUAAUUACUGUAUUUAUGAAUUUAGCACCAAAAUAUCACGAUAUAUUGAAAAUAUUUACUACAAAAAUGGCUUGGAUUAUCCAGAGGCUUGGAUAAGCGAGGCUUGGAUAAGUGAGACUCUACUGUAGUGGAGUUGUAACUUUGAUUAGCUUUCAGGCAGUUCUUUCAGGAGACUUUGGCAUGUUUAUUUUAUCUGAAGCAGACUGAUUUCAAAAGGCAUAAUUAGACAAAUUGAUGGAAGAUCUGUUUGUCUGUUUAUAUCUUGAGCCAUGGCAGCUUUAUGGGAAAACUGUGGCUGGAGAUAAUAGAUGUUUGAACCAGAUGCUGAAGCCCAAAUAAAGGGAAAGUUGUGGACAUCUGCAGGUCAUGGUUGGAACCAUAUCGUGGAUCUUUGUCAGAUCCAUUGGGAUCUGCUAACAUUGCAACUCCCAUGUUUAGUUCGAGUCAGCAUGUUUAGGAAGGAGCUGAUCAUAGCCAUAAUGUCCAUGUAAUUUUAACCUGCACUUCUAGAUUUAGUUGCUUAUUAUGGAUUUUUGCCCCUAUCAAGCAAUUUUCUCACUCUUAAAUUGUCACUCAUUUCAAGCUUAAAACACAACAAGGCUAAAAGUAAUUAAAGUGGUAGUUUUUCUGAUCAAGAAUUGUAAAAACUUCACAUUGUUAAAAAAUGGAUCCAGAUCCAGGAAUAGUGGGUCUAUUGGAAUUGGUGAAGGUUAAGUUAGUCACAGAUUUCAGUGGAUCUCCUCUAAAUUUGACAAAAUCUGUAUCAAUAAUAAUAAUGAUGCCAUCCCAGGUGACAGUCGGAUUGAUGAAAAACAACAGGAAAAACUCAACCACUAUCAGGACCUCAAGAUUGAACUUCAAAGACUCUGGCAGAAACCAGUGCAGGUGGUCCCGGUGGUGAUCAGCACAUUGGGU
Molecule: long non-coding RNA, 4275 nt
Organism: Anolis carolinensis (green anole)
Lineage: Eukaryota; Metazoa; Chordata; Lepidosauria; Squamata; Anolidae
Source: Ensembl